Mus musculus (house mouse) is the source of this 838-nucleotide long non-coding RNA. RefSeq annotates it as predicted gene, 51658. Lineage: Eukaryota; Metazoa; Chordata; Mammalia; Rodentia; Muridae. The transcript has 3 exons. The record is from RefSeq and is a predicted model, not a curated record.
UGUCUAGGAGCCUGAGGUAUGCUGUGGUCAGUCUUCCAGACACCCUCCUCAAAGCUCUGUGACAUAAUGACAAUGGAUUGCUAAGCCUGCACACGGCCACCAGACAGUGCCUUGGGAGGCCCAGCCUCAGUUUCCCAUUUUACACAUACACUCUUGGCUGUCUUGCUUCUUUUCCAGUGGCUCCUCCUUCAGUAGAAAGUUAAUUGGAGGGAAGAGCUGCCCAAGGGCUGAGAGGACAAAGAAUUGCAGGUGAUUGCUGGAGCACACGGUCGGAGGAAAUGGGGAGAUGCCAGUCAAAGGUACAAACUUGGGGGCUAUAAAGCAAGCGCUGGAGACCCAGCAUCAAGUGGGAUGCUCCACACCAGUCUGGCGUGCACCACCCUCUUGGGUUCGCCACCACUGCCACCCGUGUUAGGGCUAAUCGGGAGGCGCCACACAGCGACCUGAAGGCCAGCAGCAUUGCAUGACCUACCUGACGCAAGGAAACACCUCACCCUAAGUCCACAGCACCUGGCCAGGAUCCUACUCCAUGUGACACAGGCACUGCCAGUCAGACUACAGUCCACAGGCGAGAGGCGCGUUCCGGAGAGCAGGCACUCAAAGGCUUCCUACCUGAACCAGUUCCUCGGUACCUUUGAAGGCCUCAUGCCUACCUAUGAUUAUCUGUUCCAGGGUAUCUCCUACCUUAGCCUGCUCCAAGCCUGGUACCCCUCUUUAGAAUCCAGCUGUCUCUGUCCACAAGCCUAGAGGGAUGCUACCACAAUGUCAGGAAUAGAGAUCAGGAGAAGGUUGUGUCCUUUCAACCUCUUUUAUCGCCUCCCUCCCCCAUCUCCAUUAG